UUUUUUUUUUUUUUAAAGAUUGUAUUUAUUUAUUCAUGAGAGGCACACAGAGAGAGGCAGAGACAUAGAGGGAGAAGCGGGCUUCUCCAGUGGACUCGAUCCUGGGUCUCGGGGACCAUGCCCUGAGCUGAAGGCAGACACUCAACCACUGAGCCACUCAGGCAUCCCAGCAACAUGGAAUCUUAAAAGGGACCUGUGAGGAGAUGCCAUGAGCUCAUUACACUCUGCUAUCAGAAGCUCUUUCUCCCCGACAAAAGCCAGAGACCCCACUGUUUUCCCAGAAAGGCCUAGCCUGGACCCCCAAGGGCAACAGUGACUGUUGAUUGUGGGAAAGAAGUGUCUUGUGUCAAAUAAAGCUGAAUGUACAUGCAUACUUCACGAGACAAUAAUUUCAUCCAACACAUUCAUAAAUUUAUCAAAAAUCUUGUACAAGAUUAUUCAUAGCAAUACUGUACAUGAGAGCCUAAUACUUGAAAGUACCCAAAUGACCAUUAACAGAAGGAUAGGAAAGUAAUAGUGGUGUAUUCAUUCAAUGGAAAACUGCACAUCAGUGAGAAUGAAUGAACUACAACCAUGUGUUGAGGCAGAUGAAUCCCACUAUCAUAAUAUUGAGUGAAAGAAGCCAGGCACAAAUGACUACAUGCUCUAUGAUUCUAUUUACAUAAAUUUCAAAGCAGGUGAAUCACAUAGAUGCUGUUAAAAGUCACGAGAGUAGGGGUGCCUGGGUGGCUUAGUCACUUAGGCAACUGCCUUCAGCUCAGGUCAUGAUCCCAGGGUCCUGGGAUCGAGCCCCAUGUCUGGCUCCCUGCUCAGUGGGGAGCCUGCUUCUCCCUCUCCCUCUGCAGCUCUCCCUGCUUGUGCUCAUUCUCUCUCUCCUUCUCUCUCUCUCUCUCUCUCUGUCAAACAAAUAAAUAAAAUCUUUAAAAAAUAAAUAGUCAUGAGAGUAUAAUGGAUCAAGAAAAAAUGAUAUACACACACAGAGGAAUACAAUUCAGUCAUUUAAAAGAAGGAAGUGCUGCCGUUUGUGACAACAUGGAUGGUCCUAGAGCGGAUUAUGCUAAGUGAAAUAAGUCAGACAAAGACAAAUACAACAUGAUCUCACAAGCAAAAUCUAAAAAAACUAAAACCAAAACCAAAUUCGUAUAAACAGAUCAGAUUUCUGGUUGCCAGAAGCAGGGGAUAGGGUAGUUGGAGGAAUUUGGUGAGGGUAGUAAAAAGGUACAAACUCUAGUUAUAAGAUAAUUAAGUCCUGGGAUGUAAUGUACAGCAGGGAGACUAUAGUUAGCAAUCUUAUAUGGCAUGUUUGAAAGUUGCUGAGAGUAGAUCUUUAAUGAGUUCUCUUUAUAAGGAAAAGAAACUUGUAACUGUGAGGUGAUGGGUGGUACCUGGACUUAUUGUAGCGAUCAUUUCACAAUAUACACAUAUAUCAAGUCAUGUUUAUACUUUAAACUUAGAUAAUGUUAUAUAUGCUACUUAUAUCUCAAUAAAACUGGAAAAAAGGUCAAGAGAGUACUGACCCUCGGAAGGGGGAAUAUUGACAGGAAGAGCGUAUCUUCUGGGGUGCUAGUAAGGCUCUGCUUCUUGAUCUGGGUGCAGGUUACAUGCAUGUGUCCAGAUAAUGAAACCUUACCAAACUAGACAUUAUUUUUGUGAUUUUUUCUAUGUGUAUGUUAUACUCCAAAUUUUAAAAAUUACUAGAAUGUUACCCCCCUCACCCCCACAGACACACACACACUGCAAAGAUGGCUUAUGGCAAGUCCUCUGAAAGAGAGGUCAUAUAUUACGUCUAGGUGAAACAGUUCCUAGAUCUGUGACAAUAUGAUGAUCCCCAUGCCAUGCCAAAUGAAUACAGCAUUCUCCCAGUGAUGACACAACAUCUAAUUAACUGCCUGGAGCCAAAGAAGAAGGCUUUGGAAUGAAUUCUGAUUCCAGGAUUCUCUUACACUUGCUCUGGAUUGUGGGCCCUGAUCUUCACAAAACACUUUACGCCACAUAAUUGGGGAGGUUUGGUUUCAAGUCUACUUAAUGAAUUUAAAGAGAAUAAUCCCUGGAUUUCCCAAGUUUUAGAUACAUCAGCCCAUUGAGAGUUGAUCCCAGCUUUGUUUUAGAUAAACUAUAUUCCUGGGCACCUCAAUCUGAAAUACCCUGUGAAGUUUGUUUUCCCUAAUUGGAAAUGCAAGUAAAGAUAACCUAAGGCCUGGAAGCAUGUAUUGAUGUUGUCAUCAACGGUUUAUAGCACCGACAGAAAUCAAACCUGGCCCAAGUCGUACAGUCUCAUUAUUGACCCAAGCCUAUUUAAUUCUCUUUCAAAGACUUUAGUGCAAGACUCAGACUGCAAAACAUGCCGUUAUUUCUCACAAAAUUACCAACGACAUGAAAAAUAUCUGUGCCCUACAUCCAUUCUGAUAGUUUUUAGAUGAUUUGAAUUUAUUUUUGUCUGCUGUAGCAGAAAAAGAUGGUCAGCAUCUGCUCUCUAAAGAUGACGUAGCAUUCCCAGGAGGAGCCUCAUGAAGCAGUUUCUGUCACCAAAAACAGCUAAUGCCUAGUUAUGCCUGUGGCUGACUCAGCAGCCAUUCCCAACCCCCUCCUCCCCUGUCACUUUUCACUACAAGAAAAUGAAGAGUUAAAUAAUUUCCCAUCCUCUCCAAAGCUAGAGGUUGUCAUACUACACAGUUAUGGCCAAGGAGACUUUAGUAGAAGUUUUCUAGAAGGUUGUUUUGUUGGUUAGUGGGAAAACUAGUAGGUAUUUCCUUGAUUGUUUCUUCCUGCAUUGACUAUGAAUGAUGUCUGGAAGUGCACCUCUGUAUGCUAUAAGUCAACCUGCCAAGGAUAGGGAGGAGGGAAAACAGAAAGGGUGCAGACUGCCUGCCUCUUUACAUAAGGGACAUUGUGGAGACAGGAGCCAGCAUAUUCAGUAGAACAGUAGUAUAAACGAUCUAGACAGUAAAAUUGUAGUGAUCUACUUCCCAUGAGUUCCAGCACAUCAUGAAGAGCUAUCUGUAAAUUAGGCCUUCACUUUUGGUGGGAUGGGUUGGUCAAUUGUUCAUAGGGAAUUUCCCAUGAUGCCAUAGAUGUGUCUGUAGGAAGAGGAGGCAAUGCAGUUGGACUAUGUGCUAUAGAAGUCUGAGUCCCCUGCAAAUUUGUCUUACUUGGACCUCCUGUAGGACCUGCUUGAGCUUGAUCAUUUGAUUUAUAUAUUUACACUUGAUGAUGAAUUGUGCUUAUGCAUGUCUAACCUUAUGACUUGAAGGGUCCAAUGACACUCAAUUCAUGAUGAACAGCUCAGAUCACAUGGAGGCCCUUGGUCAGACAUUCAGAAAGUACCAGGACCACAUAGCAAGCAAGAAGUUACUUGUCAGAGGAAUAAUUGUCUUUAGAAGAGAGAUGAGUUUUUCUUCAAAAUCCCAAGGCUCUCCACAGUGAUGCAUGUCAGAAGACAUGUAAACUUCAAAAACUUUGUGUGAUAAAUGGGUCUGAAAAUCAUAUUCCAAUGUCAUUUGUUGCCUCCAAAAUCUAAAGAAGCUUCCCCCUCAAAAAUGUUCUUCCAUUAUCUUUAGUGGUAGAUUAUACAAGGUACAGGCACUUAUCUUUCACAUUGAAAGGCAUAUCCCAUAUGACCUAGAUCAUAAGAAUUCCAGAUAUGUCACUGAGGUUGUAGUUCCUUGAAAUCUUAUGGAAUUUAUCUCCAAUCUUUUGGCACUAAUGUAUCUUAUUAAAAUUUCUAAGAUACUUGAUACCUUCUGAUUUUCAAGAGCAGCAGUGCCCAGUGUGAUAUUUUGUGCAUUGUCAAAAUGAUUAAUAUCUUUAGGUUAGAUUAUAGCAAAGAUUAGGAGAGUUGGCAUAGCCUGCAGGAAACAAUGAAGGUGUACUGAGCCCCUUGCCAGGUGAAAGAGAACCUUCCUGUACUCCUUUAAAUUGAUGGUGCUAAAAGCAUUUGCUAUACAAAUAGCUACGUAAUGGGUUCCAGGAGUUGUUUCAACCUGUUCCAGGAGAGAUUCCACAUCUGGAACAACAACUAUACUGCUAUUAGCACAUAACUGAACUUAACACUAUUCCAAUCAUUCUCCAAGAUCCAUGUACAUUCUGCAUAAGUCAGCAGACCAAAUCCACUGGGAUCUGAGCAGAAUUACCACCCUUGCAUUUUUUAAGUCUUUAAUGUUGCCACUAACCUUUGCAGUUUACCCUGA
RNAcentral lists this long non-coding RNA (4187 nucleotides) under Canis lupus familiaris (dog). RNAcentral's name for it is "lncRNA (ENSCAFG00000051164.1)". Lineage: Eukaryota; Metazoa; Chordata; Mammalia; Carnivora; Canidae. The record is from RNAcentral.